UACACAUAUCCAGCUUUUCAGGAAGGUAUUAUGGGCAGAAAUCUAAUCUCAUUGGAACCGUUAAUCAGGUCUGCAAAAUCAAGCCAAUAUCUUACUUGCAGCAAAAUUCUUUACUUUCACACUAGAUAUUCAAACGGGCAUAUCUUGAGUUUCAGAUAUCGAUAUCAAGAAAUUCAAAAGCCCAGAUUCAUCUAAACAUCAAGGGAUAUAACUUUUAUAAAGGGCUCCAGGUUAGAUAAAAUUAUUUUCAAGAUGAAAAUCUUGAUGCAAGCCGGAUGACGAGUUUUGUCUCCUAAUCUAAUGGGAAACUAACAAGAUGGGAAUCCUGUCGUUUAAAGAAAAUCUAAUAGGAUCAUAUAGAUAUUGUCUAUAGCCUUCUAAUUGUCAAUUUCGAUUCAAGGGGAAUAAACACCUUCUUCAUUAUCAAGUUGUGAGAAGUAACAUUAUCAUUGUAAUUCUUUGAGACACAAGUACUUAUUUUUUCUUAUUUCAAAAUUAUGCUAUUGAUUUCCGCUCAACACAAUUGAAUUGUUUUGAGAUGACAUGUAUGCUUUCUAGUUUCUUUCAAUCCGUAAUUAUUGUUAGAGACUGGAUUUAGAAGCAAAAGAAUUAAUUUGAUUGUUGCAGCUCUCAUCUUAAUUUAUCAGGGAAGAAUAAGUUAAGUUAAAUUGUCAAGCUUUUAAAUGGUUGCUUAGUAUAAAUUUGAUAGACUUCGCUCUUAAGGUUACUUUUGAAAUAAUAAGAAUUGAUUUUCAAUAUUAAAUUUUUUGAUGGUAAGAAAUUGAUUAGAAAGCUUUGUCUAAUUAAUUUACUAAUAGUCUCCUCGAUUCCACUUAGCUUUAAGAGAUAUCAAAUUUAUUUGCAUGACUUGAAAGAACAUUUACUUUUAUUUUGAUGAUCAACAAAUUUAUAAGAACGAAUGUAUGGACCUUUUGAAUUGAGUUAACAACAUAUCAAUUUUUCAAUUUUAUUUCUAGAAUUUCAUUUCUUUAAUUAUUCAAAUCCCCUCAUUUUAUUUAUUUUAGUUUCUUGUAGGAAGAUUAAACAAAAUUUUCCAAAUAAAAACAUGCAAAGUGUGUGAGAUAUUUGUUUUCGGAAGUUAGUUGAAUGAAUAUUAUAAGAUGGUUGAAUAUAACCAUAAAAUUUGAAAUUUGAGAAUUUUUAGAUCAUUGUGAAAAAUCUUGCAAUGACUAUUAUAUGUACCGAUCAUUUUUAUAAAAAUAACGAUUGACUAAUAAACCCAAGAUUCUAACCUUAGGCUUUGUCUUUCGGAUAUUGAUUAAUAAAGAAAAAUAAAAAUAAAAAUAAAAUUGUCCUUGUAUUAAUUGUUCCUAUCAAUUGAUUAAUUAAUCCAAGAUAGAAUGGUCUUAUACCAGGUCCUGUCUUUCAGGUGUCGUUUAUCGAGUAACAGGAUCAAUUAAUAUUUGAUCGAUGAAUUAAUUGUUUCUAUCAAUUACUAAUUGACUCAUGAUGAUAUGAUCUAAUAUUGGGCUAUGUUCUCUUGGUGUCGAUAAGUGAAUAAUAGUACCAAUUAAUACAUGAUUUCUAGGAUAUUAACCAAUAAAAUUAAGUAGCCCAAGAUGGAAUGGUUCAAUAGGGGCCUAUUCUUUGGAUGCUAUGUAAUGAAUAAUAUGAAUUUAAUUUUCAACCUGCAAUAAGCCUCAUAUAUAGAUGUGCUCAUCAUUUCCAAAUAAUCGCGGAUUGAAAGGUCAAUAGUAUAACUUGUUCUUUAAAUCUUGUUUAAUAAAUAAUAAGAACAAUACAUCGAAUAACAUAUAUAACAGUUUAGGUGAACCACAAGAAAACACAUUUAUCAUUGAAAACAAACAACAAUGCAGCCUACCUUAAUUAUGAUGUAUAGAGUUAUGUCUAUCUUACCUAUUACAUAACCAACUCCUUACCAAAACCUCUAAAGACCUGUUAGGGUUUCUAGUUACCAUAAAUCUAGGUAGUGACUCAUUUUUCUUGUUUUACCUUUUUUUCACAUAGCUCGCCCCGAUGUCCACAUGCAAUACAAAUUUGACCAAGUGAACCGGGUUGCAAGUUGACCUUUUAAGUCACUCGGGUUUGACUGGAUCAUUGUCCACUUCUGUUUAGAAGAAAAUCAAACCAAAACAAGGUUUUGGGUUAGCAAAUCACGAACGCAUCCUGUUGGACUAGACCAAGUUUAAUGACUAUGACUUACAUAACCUCUCAUAGAAAUUGCACUUGGAUCUAAGUUUUUUGAGGUAAAAAAAAUUAUAAAAAUAGCACAAUUAAUUAGUUGCAUUGUUAGUAACGACUCAACCAUAUAAAUUACAUUACUCUCAACAAUACAAUUCAAUAUGUUACACUAUUAAGAAUAUCAGAAACCUAUUGAAAUAUAUAUUUUUUAUUUUAAUUUAGAAUUUUAAAUAAUUUUUUUCCUCUGCAAAUCAAAAUAACUAAUUUAUUGAUGUCAUUUUAUUCUCAAUAAUUAUGAUAAUUAUUAAUGAAAAUGAUUGGUUAUAAUCAAUUUAUAUUUCAAUAGGAUUCCUUAACUUAUAAUUAAUUAAUAAUUAUGAUAAUUAUCAAUGAAAAUGAUCGGUUGUGGUCAAUUUAAAUUUCAACAAGAUUUCUUAAUAGGUUAGUUGUAGUCAAAUUAAAUUUCAAAAGAAUUCUUUAACUUAGUAGGUUAAUUAAUAAUUAUCAAUGAAAAUAAUUAGUUGUAGUUGAUAUAAAUUUUCUUAACUUGGUUAAUUAAUAAUAAUCAUAAUUAUCACACCGUGACGAAUGCGAGACUCUUCAAAAUUAAAGGAAAACAAUAAUGAAGUCACCACCUAGUAAUAAAAAAAACUAGGAAUCCUAAAAUAGACACUGGUAAGAGAUUUAGAUAUUGAGUUAGUUAUGCCUAAGGAAAGAUCGAUGUCACCCUUACCGUAUCCUUUCAAACAAAAGGUUACCUCCAUAAUGUUUUUUUCCAAAUUUAUUCUAUGCAUGCUAUUAAUUAUCUAAAUCUAUUUCUAUUUCUAUUUGUGAUUUAUAUUAAUAAAAAAUUGACGUUCCCUAAAAAUAUUAUCCUCCAUAAUUUUUUUCUUGGUGAUGUUCCCUCACAAAUACCAAGAGUUUUAUCCUAAUUCUCAAAGGAUUACAAGAAUGAUUUUACUCACAACAAAACUCUCUCAAAGAGUAGAUAAUACAAUUUAAACUCUAGUAUCUCCAUAGCUCACUUAAUAGAUAGAUGAUUUGAAAGUGUUUAAGUGUAGUGAGUAUAAGAACAAAUACUCUAGUGCUAGAAUAUGAAGGCUCAAUUUAACACAACCUUGGAGUAUGAUAGGAUUGAUGAUUUUUUGUUGGUUUUUUCUUAAAACAACUUUUAUAAUAUGUAUAUUUGGAAUCCUCUUUUACUUUAACUAGAAUGAGAGUUAUUUAAAAGUUUCCAAAACAAACUAGCCAUUUCUAGCCAUUGUAACCCCAUUGAUAGCUAAAGCGAUCGACUGAUUUAGAUUGGGCAAGCCAAUUAGUCGUCUGGUUCCUAUAGAUUCUUAGAUGUUCAUCACGAAUGAACAAGUGGUACACUAGUUCACUUGGUAUUACCAAGUGGUCGACUGGUUCAACUUAAAUACUAGAUUUUGACAAUUUGAACCUGCUGAAUUUUGAACCGAUACUAAUCCUAUAUAUAUGCAGAGUGAUGUGUUUAAGUUCAUUUUAAUUGUGCUAUUAAGUUAAGAUAUAAAGAUUUAUAUAAUCACUAAAAUGAACAAUUAAUUAUUGGAUUCUCAAAUGUUCUUCACUUGCUUCGGUGGCUAGGUUUCAAAGAAAAAGAAGACUAAGAAAUGAACAAUUAAUAAUUAAAAUGAACAAUUAAUUAUUAGAUUCUCGGCCCAACCAGGGUGGGUUCAACCCACAUCAUUAGGCUGGGCCCAACCCAAUAUAUUUUUAUAAUAUAAUAAUAAUAUUAUAUAUUAAACAAAAAGUUCCAAAUUUUUUCAAAAAAACCUUUUAAAAAAUUUGUGAUUUUUUCACGUAUUUUUCUAUCAAUUUUGAUUAAUAUUGGUUUGUAUUUUUAUAUUGUAAAAAUACAAAUCUGGUAUUAAAAUACAUAAUUUUCUUUGAAAUGUUGCAUAUAUAUAUAUAUAUAUAUAUAUAUAUAUAUAAAUUUCAUAUCGUAUUUUCAUGAAAAAUAAAAUUAAAAAAAAAGUGUUAGCAUACAUUUUGAGCUUUAAUAACCAGUUUAUUAAAGUCAUGACAACUAGGCCUAUAUUUUAAAAAUACAAAAAAAAUAUAUUUUGUUUUCUUUUAGUAUCUGAGAUUACAAACUUUUAUUUAUAGACAUUAGAAUGAUUAGGUUUUUACCGAUAUUAAAAAUAUAGUUCUUUUAUAUAUAGAUAUUAGAACGGUUAGGUUUUUACUCGAUAAGAUUAUGAUCUUCUUACUGAGGAGAAUAUUUUUUAAACCUUUGAUAGACCAACAAUUAGAAAACACAACAAUACUCUAGUUAUAUUAGACAAUCAAACCAUGUUAAAAACAGAGUUUACAAUUCCUGUCAUUAUUAGUGUAUGUCAUUGGCAGCUAUUAUUAGUAGUCGGAGGGAGUAGUUGUUGUUGUCCUAGGAUUCAAGCAACAAUACACCUAAAAAGAAAGGUGAAUUAAGUGUUCCACUAAUAAUAACAAAUAUUAAAAUUAAUUCAAUUAAACACAAUUAACGAACAAUAUAAUUAAAUUGCGUAAAGUAGAGAGUAAAGAGAUAGGAAUUGUAAACUCUAUUUUUAACAUGGUUUGACAAGUCUAUAUCCGCAUCUCAAGCACCCAAAUUGGUCUUGUGUAUUUUGUUCUUUCACUAGUCCAAGUUGAAGAUUACAAUUGUCACUUGAUGAAUCCACACCAAGAUUUUACAUUACUUGAAGAUAUAUUUUUUUGACAGUUUGAACCUACUGAAUCUUGAAUCGAUACUAAUCCUAUAUAUAUACAGAGUGAAGUGUUUGAGUUCAUUUUAAUUAUGCUAUUAAAUUAAAAUAUAAAUAUUUACACAAUUACUAAAAUAAUCAGUUAAUUCUUAGAUUCUAAUUUGAUCUUCAUUUGCUUCGGUGGCUAGGUUUUAGAGAAGAAGAAGGCUAUUUUUUAUUUCUACACUUUCACUCCAUUUUUUUUUCUUUCUCUAUCUUAAAUUUUUCUUCAAGGGUUGCUAGGGUUUCUUACCCACUCCUUUUCUUUUCCUUCUAAUUUUUCUAUGGAGGCUAGAGUAUUUUUUAACAAUCAUAUCCUUUGAUUUCUUUGGGUCGAUUUUGACCCUUCAUUGUUGUUGUAUAUUUGGGACAAAAUGCUCGUCUUCUAUAAAGCUCACACCAAAUCUUAAUCAUAAAGAGUGGGGAUGAGAGAGAGAGAAAAGAAGAAGAAGAAGAAGAAAACGGGGCUGAAAAACUUCACUGCCAUUUUUCAAAAUCAGACGACCCGUUUCCUUUCAAAGGUUAGCCAAAAAGUUCCCAUACACACCCAUUAGCGAGCUUCUUCUUUACCAAAAAAAAAAACUAAAAAAAUUAGAUCAUCAUUUUCAAACCACCUUCUAGCUAGAACUGGAAACAAAAAAACAGUACAGACUCUCUCAUCAGCGCUGCCUCUUUCGCCACCCUCGAGUUACUAUCCUGCCCCACGUUGACUCCAGGAACCAUAGCCGCUGCUUCCACAGUACCAUUAACCUGAGGUGUUCAUUACCGGAAUCAUAACCCAAGGCAGGGCAGGAGCCCACUCACAUCGUCCAUGUGCAUCUUCAGCGUGGUCGUUCUACUUUCUUGCCUCUGACCUCUCUGGACUUAGCUUUAUUCAAGCACUAGCCACUCAAAAAAAGAGUGAAGAAGAGGUACGGGAUAUCCAGUGGAGCUAUCUCCAUCAUAAUCACUCAAGGUAUAAAGCUUCUACCUAUUCUCAUGUAGUUGUAAUCUUUUACAUGUGCAUGCUACUGCAAAGGCAAGCUCCCGUUUUUCCUUUAUGUGCUAUGAAGUUAACAUAUAGUGUUGUAAGGUGUGUGGAUCUUUUAAGUCCUAACCUGGUCACGGGUGUUCUUUCACUUGCUACGGGUACUGAAGGGGAUGGGGUGUGAUUUUUCCUUCAAACGCAUAUGGUCUUGAAAACUUGAUUGCAUGUCCUAAGGUCAUGUUAAGACCUUGCCUAGUUAAUUAAGAAUGCUCUUACCCAAGGUUAAAGUUCAAGAACGGUAUGAGAAGGUGGAAAAAGAUGUUGAUAACUAUAGGGGUCAUAGGUUUCCCUUCUUUUUUUUUUUUGUCUUUAGAAAAUAAAAAUACAUAGGACUGUCAAGGAGUUUUUCCAUACCAUGCUUGGGCUUUGGAUGUAUGUUUCCUUGACAUGAGAUGAUUGCUACCUUGCUUUAGAUCCCUUGUUAACGAUGAUGCAUGAACCAGGCAUGGAAAUCUUCAAUGACUAUCGUGCAUGAUUUUUAUGUUCAAAAAGAUCCAGUCCUCUAGCUGUGCAUAAUUAUUGGCCAAGCCGUAAAUAAAAUGAUUUUUGGUUGAAGAAGAAUCGGUAUGUGGAAGGGUUUCUGGUUCAUUUCUUCUUACUGUCCCAUGGCUUUUCGUUAAUGCUAGUACAGCUAUAUUUCUCUUUUCUAAAGUUAAGUAGGUUGAUAUCUAGAAAUAGGUUUAUCACGGGUUUAAGAAUAUCAAAGAAAAGAAAAGAAAAGAAGCUAAAAAAAAAUAAUUUUAAUUAUUUUUCAUGUUUUGAAGAGCGUUUUUGCAAUUAAUUUUUCAUUCUUUACCCUUUUAUAUUUAAAAACAAGUUUAUUAAAGCCACAUGUAUCUGGUCUUAGUUUGAAAAAAUUAAAAAUAUUAAUUUAUUUAUUUUAAUACAAUGAAUUAUGAGUUUAUACGUAAGAUAUAUUCUCAAUAUUAAAAGAAACAAAUGCAAAACAUGUCUUGGCUCUAGAAUAAUCAGGAUUGUCCCAUAAAGCCAUGGUUCUCUCUACUCGGAUAGACCUUUUUUAACCAAUAGACAAAUCAAUGAUUAUAAAAAGAAAACAUUACCUUAGUAAUAAUCAGAAAAUAAACAAUACAACUUAUCUUAGGUAUGAUAACUAGAGUUGAUGAUAAUGUCCAUCUUAUACAUAACUUGUCCCUUGUCCAAACUUUGAAGACUAGUUAUGAUUUUUAGUGAUUAAAAUACAAGAUGACGACUUUAAGUAUUUUUUAUUUAUAAAGGACAAGAAGUCCAUGUUCUUUCCACACCACACCAAAGUCCUGAACUAGGAGGAUGAUCACAAUGAUACCACAUCUGUGCUACAUUCAACAUUGUACUUUUCAUGAGUUAUCCUUUCUAUUUUUCAAUUACUUUGAUCCAAAUAAUGUGUUACCCUCUCAACAUUCUUAAAAGUUAACAUGUACUUUUACUAAUUGAUCUAACUAUGAAUGUGGUGCGAUGUAAAUGAGUAUACAAGAUUAAACGUAUGGAAGAUGGGACUUUUAAGGACUACAAAACAUGUUUGGUGGCCAAUGGCUACUAUCAACAAAAAAGGGUUUGAUUUUCAAGAGACAUUUAGUCUAGUGGGGAAGCCUUGCACUAUUCAGACAAUGCUUGAUAUUAGUGAUACUUGAGGUUGGUCGGCUUAUUAGAUUGAUAUCUAUAUACAUACAUACAUACUACUUUUCUCAAUUUUCUUGAUUCAGAUGUGUUUAUUACCCAGCCUCUUGACUUUACUAAUUAUCAAUUCCCAAACUAUAUUUGCAAACUAAAACAUUUUUUUUUAUGGUUUAAAACAAGCACCUCAUGCAUGGAUUGAUUGCUUAGUGAAUUCUUAGUUUCUCAAUGAAUUUUAUAUUUUCAAAUUUUUAAGUGAAUCCAAGUUAUAUGAUCGUGAUAACUAAAAAAAAAUGAACUAAAUUUAUUUAUAAAAUUAGCAUUGCAUGCUUAGAUUUAAAAUCAGUAAAAAAUCCCAUAGAAAGAUUAGCACCUGAUAAUGACAAGUUAACUCAGGAAACAAAUUAAGGUAACAACAAUGUUUUGAAAUUGAAUUCGACACUAGGUAUACUUAGUACAUAUAAGUUGAAGGACUGCUACCUUGACCAAUGAACUGAAAAUAUCGUUAAUUUAUAAUGAAUGGCAUACACCAUACAGUUUUACCAUAUCAACAGCAUGAAAAUUGAUAAUCGAUCCUUUUGGGAUAUGUCAAUCCCAAAUCUAUUAUUCCAUUUCUUUAUUAAUUAUCAUAAAAACAUUUAUUAAAUGUGUUGUCCUCCAACUCUUUCCAUAAAAAGAAAGAGUUGUGAACCACCACAUACAUUUGAUCAUGGACAAAAGGUAAUCAAAUAGUUGCCUCCACUAGGACAAGUAAACGUGCUCGAUUUAUCAUCAUAAGCAUAACUAUAAGCUUGAGGACACUGCUGCUUGAAAGUCAUCGAAUAUUGGUUAGGUUGACAUUUGUCAGGUGUACUGUACUCUCCUGUGCAGCAGAACUGCGGCUGGUGAAAUUCCAAACACGCGCUCUUGCAGGCAAUCACAGUCCCAUCUGCCCCCUUCACUGCUAAUCUAGGAUCACAAACAGCAUUCACGUUAGCUGCACAGCUUGUAGAAGGGCAGCCAGUAGAACCUCCUUGCGGGGUUACCGAAAUUGGGGUGUUAAAGCCAUCAACAAGGCUUAUAUCGUAAAAAUCUUUCCCACCAUCACCUCUUAGAGUAAAUUCUGCCAAGGAUGCUGGUGGGAUCGCACCGGCUCCAUUGCAUUCUAUGACACCAGAGGCACAGUCAGCAGUAGCACAAACAAACUUUCCGGAGGCAUCUGUAGAGCAUUGAGUUCUGGCCCACAAGCGACCAGACCAUGUUGCAGGGACACUUAGCGAAGAUGAAGCACCUGUUGCCAAUGUGAAGCUAGUUGAAGAUAUAGGCGGACGGCCAGCAGCCGUUAGAGUUCCUGGCCAGACUGUGUAUGGACAGUUGUUUUUGACGACGAAAGUCACAGAUUGAGCUCCUGCAUGCGUGCAAGCUGCGCAAGAUUUAUUUUUGUUGAUAUCAAUAAUUAAAUCUUGGUCCAUUCAAAGAAAAUUUUAAACAGUCAUGGUUCACGAGUAAACUGACUCGAAAAUAUUUUUAUUAUCAAAUAAAAACACGAACUCUUGUUUCAUGCUAAUUUAUGUGAAUCUAUUUUUUUAUUCAUAUAAAAAGAAUAGGACUUGAAUCUAAGACUUGGCCUUCGUUUUCUCUACGGGACUAAACGUCCGUACAUAAUUCAAUAUUUAAAAUCUUGCAUUAAUUCACUUAUUUUUCUUUUAAAAAGAUAACAUAACCCAGGUUUAUUUUUUAAUAUAUUUUUUUCUUUUUUCUUUUUUAUCCGGAAACUCCCUCCUGGAUAUGUUUAUUGGAUUCACGAAAUCCAUUGAAUAAUGAAAAAGUAAUUAAUAUUGCAUAUGCAAACAGAAAAUAUAUAUGCAAGCUGCGCGAUAUUGCAUAUGCACACAGAAAAUAUAUAUGUAAGAGCAAGCAGACUAAUCAAAGUGAAUAAUAUGCACAAUAGAGUUUUGCAUGCAAGAAUCUAAUAUAUGUAAUAUUGUAAAAGUACUUGCCAUAGAGGAAGAUGACGAGGGUGAAGGUAAUUAUAGCAAAGGGCAUACGACUCCCCAUUGCCGAGAUUUGAGGUAAGCAAGAAACACUCUAUGAACCCGUUUGCCUACGUGGUGGCGUCCACGUUUCCAACAGCUAAAUUGUGCAAGCUGUUUGGUUAAGUAACAACUGCUUAUUACUGUACAUGGAACCCAUGCAAUACAGCGUUUGAAACGCAGGAAUAAAGGAAGCAGCUAGGAGCUGCUUCCUGCACGUUGCAAGAAAAGAACCAUGCUUCACUGUUCAGUGAACAGUGGAUGCAUGGCUCCACUGUUCACCGAAUAGUUUUUUUUUUUAAUGAGUGCAGUUAAUUAAUUUCACUCGUACUGAACGUGAACAACAAUUUUUUUUUGUUCUUUUAAAAAAUUAGUUUAAGGUGCAUUACAUUUACUUGUACUAUAAUCUCAAUUUUAUUUCUGAUAAUAUUUUACCUAAUUUUGUAGUUUUUGUCGGAUGAAUUUUGUACGUAAUGGAAUUGUAGAUAGUUUAAUGAAACAAUAUUUUUUUUUUAUAUAUAAAGUAUGAUUUAUUUCACGAUGUAAUAACAAUAGUUAACUCCAUAAUAUUUAAAUUAAAAACCAUCAAUAUUAAUAUAUAUUUUGUAAAAUUAUUUUAUAACCUCAAUUUCAAAAGCACUUUUAACCAACACACAUUAAACUACUUUUUCUUCAACCUCAAUUUCAACCACAGUUUUAACCAAACACCUAUUUUUUCAAAUCAACCUCAACUAAAAGUACUUUUUAUAAAACAACUUUUUUCAAAUCACAACCACAACAGCUACCGCAAUACCAAACACACUUUAUAUUUUAAAAAGACUGUGUUUGCCACUUAUAAAUAGUAGUCAAAUAGAGGAACACGUGGAAAUCAAAAAGAGAGAGAGAAAAAAAAAAGAAGUUUGUCACUGCCAAACCAAGCAACCAUCUGCCACACGGUGUGACAUUUGACAAUGAAUGACCCUACACUUAUUAACCAUUAUUUUAAUAUUAUUUAUAUUUAUUAAAUUAUUAAAUUAAAAAUUGUCAAAGAACUAAUUCAACCUAAAUUGUUAGGUAAGACUCCCAGAUAUGAUUUAUAUUAUUCUCUAACACACCCCUUCAAGUGAAAGCCAUUUGAGUUUGAAACUUGCACAGAUCCACAUUACCUUGUGCUUAAUUUUUAUUAAAUAAAUGAGGAUGAUGAGAUUUGAACUCGUAACCGCUUGGUCAUCAAGGCUCUAAUACCAUGUCAAAGAACCAAUUCAAUCCAAAAGCAGGCGACUGGGAUGAAGAGUCCAUUGUAGAGGGGAGAGAGAGUUUUUUAAUUUAUUUAGGGCUUUGAUAUCAAAUUGAGAAUAAUAUAAUGACUUAAGUUGUGUCUUAGCCAACAUUUCCUAUUUAUAUAUAUGCGGUAGUACACGAUAGUAACUGUAGGAAUCACAAUAUUGGAAUAAUCCUACAUUAAUUCAUAUACAUAUAUAUACGUGCUAUACAUUCUAUAAUAAUCAAGAAUUAUCUGUGCUAAUAAAUAUAAAAGAAACUCGUUAAUAAUAAGUAAAGACUAAACAAGAAAAAUCAAGAGAUAAAUGUAAAACAAAAUAUUUGAUAUCGCAACACGGAGCAUGUACCUAGUUGUGUUUAAUAAUUUUUUUAUUUGAAUAAAUUUGUAUUUAAUCAAAGGAUUAUUUGUGCCAAUAAAAGGAUGUCUACCCAAUACAAUUUUUUAUUUAUUUUGUAUUUCAAAAUAUUAUGAAAUGAGCAUCAUAUGAUUAUAUUUAAUUAAUUAAUUAAUUAAAUUAUAUUAAAUGAAAAAAAUAAAUAUCUAUAAAAAAACAAAAAAAAAAUACUCAAGAUAUCCCGAGUCAUUUUUAAAAUAAGUGAACAAUCCUACAGAAAGAAAAAAAACUUAUAGAGGAUCAUAUUGUAAAAAAAAUCAAAUUAAAAAUUAUUUCAAAUAAAAAAAUAGCAAUUAAAAAAACAUGGACAAAAUUUGAAAAAUGAAAUAACAGAAGGGGAAUGAAAUUGUCAAGGAAUUCCAAUUUUAUAAAUUAUUUCAAACAAAACAAACAAUAAUCAAAAGAAUAGGGACCAAAUCCAAAAGAAUAACAAAUUGAAGGCGUGCUUUGAAAUUUUGAAGGGGCACACGCGAAAAUCAAGUAGAAAGAAAGAAGAAAAAGAAAAAGAAAAGGUUGUCGGCACUAAACCGAACAACUAUCUAUCACACGCACUGCCUCAUCCACGACGGUCUUUGGUCAACGAACGACCCUACACCUGCCACCUGAAGUGCACGGAGACCACCCAUGCACUGACCUGUACUCAUCAACUAUUUUUUUAAUAUUAUUUAUAUUUAUUAAAUUACAAAAUUGGAAAUAAACCACCAUGAUAAAAAAUAAAAAAAAAACCCAAUGAAAUAUACAAAUGCCCUUGGUUUCAACCUUAAGCGACUAAUUAACUAGAUAUCUCAAUUAAUGAGAAAGCAGAAUAGUAAACAGGAAAUUAGAGGAACGCCCUGCUUCUCACGUCAAAUGAAAGCAACACCCAAUUGAGUAACGAAUGUAACUCUGGUCCCUUGGUUUGAACCACAAGUGACUAACUAGCAGACUAGUCAACAGCCUAUUAGAGGAAUUGAAUGAAAGCAAUUGAAUGCAGGAAGAGGGCCAGGCUAGUAAACAGCCAACAGUGGCAGUUCUCCUCCAGCAUGUGCAACUGAGGAGCCGUGACGAAGGCGACACUCUUCAAAAUAAAUCUUGAAUCGAUUGACUGAUGCUCUUUUCUUUUUUGUCGGUGUAUAAAUUAGUGGUUAGCUAAUUAAUUAUGUCCCACGGGCUAUCGAUACCAUCCAUUACCAGGUUCCAUGAAAAAAAUAAAAAAAUAAAACAAGGGAUUGAUUAGUAGAGCGUUUACGUUUUCACUCUUCAAAAUUAUCACACCGUGAUGAGUGCGAGACUCUUCAAAGCCAAUUGUCGAAUGAAUGUAACUCUGGAAUUAUUCCAAAUCCACAAGUUUGAUAGUGUUGUGUUGAUUGUGAGACAUUAUUUUAAAAACUGAAGGGGAAAAAUUGUUAAAGAAUUCUAAUUUUAUAAAUUAUUCUAAAUAAAACAAGUAAUAAUCAGAAGAAUACGAAUAAAUAACAAAUUGAAAGCGUGUUUUAAAAUUUUAAUGCCAAUAAUACGUGGUCUACCCAAUACAAUUUAUUUAUUUAUUUUGUAUUUCAAAAUGUUAUGAAAUCAGCAUCACAUGCAUAUAUUUAAUUAAUUAAUUAAAUUAAAUUAAAUGAAAAACAUUUCUACAAAAAAGAGAAAUUAAAAAAAAACAACAACAAAUAAAAAUACUCGAGAUAUCCAAUUAAAUAAAUGUUAAAGGAUGAAACUGAAAUAAACAUGAUCUUAAAAAAAGAAAAAAAAACCAAUCAAACUUGGGCAAACCUCCUAAACUUGGGUUAAUCUCUAAAACUUGCAACUCAUGAAAUCCUAGACUCGAGCUUGGUUAAGAAGCACAAUUCUCAACUAAUUUAAUGUUGAAUAAUGAAAACAAGAAAAAAAUCAUUAUAAAAAAAAUGUCAAAGUGAAAAAACAUAGCAAUCAAAAGAAUGAGGAUUAAAUCUGAUAGGAAAAAAAAAUUAUGAAGGAUGAUAUUGUAAAAAAAAUCAAAUUGAAAAAUUAUCUUAAAUAAAAAAAUAACAAUCAAAAGAAUAGGUACAAAAUUUGAAAGAUAAAAAAACUGAAAGGGGAUGAAAUUGUCAAAGAAUUCCAAUUUAAUAAAUUAUUCCAAACAAAAUAAACAAUGAUAAAAAAAACAUCACCAAAUCCAAAGGAAUAACAAAUUGAAGGCGUGUUUUGAAAUUUUGAAGGGACACCUGUGAAAAUCAAGGAGGGAGAAAAGAAAAAGAGAAAGAAAAGGUUGUCUGCACCAAACCAAACAACCAAUUCACUUGGUCUUACCAAACAGUUGACCGGAUCAACUUAAAUACUAGAUUUUGAGUGAAGUGUUUAAGUUCAUGUUAAUUGUGCUGUUAAGCUAAGAUCUACAUAAUCACUGAAAUGAACAAUUAAUUCUUAAUGGCUAAUGAAUGUAACUCCGGUCCCUUGUUUGAACCACAAGUGACUAACUAGAUAUCUCAAUUAAUAAGAAAGCAGACUACUAAAUAGCCAACAGUGGCAGUUCUCCUCCAGCACCAGCAACAGACGAGCCGUGACGAAUGCAACACUCUUCAAAAUUAUCACAAUGGGAGACUCUUUAAAAUUGAAAGAAAAAAAUAAUAAAUUCACCAUCUAAUAAUUAAAAAAUAGAAAUAAAAAAAUAAACAUUGGUUAGAGAUUUAGACAUUGAGUUAGUUAAGUCGAAGGAAGAUCGAUGUUACCCUUACUGCAUCCUUUGAAAUGAAAGGUUACCUCCACAAUGCAUUUUAAAAAAUUUAUUCCAUGCAUGAUAUUAAUUAUCUAAAUUUAUUUCUAAUCUUAUUUGUGAUUUAUUUUAAUAAAAAAUUGGUGUCGGUCCCUAAAAAAAGAAGACUCGUCGAUAAAGAAAAAUCUUGAUGUCAAUCCCUAAAAAUAGAUAAUUUCAUCGAUUUAGAAAAAAAAAUAAUUUUAAUCUCUAAAACUAGAGAUUUCAUUGGUUUAAAAAAUUUUGACGUUAAUCUUUAAAAACAGGAGAUUUCAUCAAUUUAGAAAAAAAAAUUGGCAUUAAUCUUUAAAAAUAUGUGUUUUCAUCGAUUUAGGAAAAAUUGGACAUCAGUCCCUAAAAUAGAUAAUUUCAUCAAUUUUUAAAAAAUAUGAUAUUAAUCCUUAAAAAUAGGAGAUUUCAUUGAUUUAGAAAAAAAAAUUAACAUUUAUAUUUUUUUGAAUCCAAUACAAUAUAUACAUAUCUCAAUAUUGAUAUAGCGUGCACGCGCGCUCACACACGCUCGCGCACACAACAUAUAUAUAUAUAUAUAUAUAUAUAUAUAUAUAUAUAUAUAUAGUAUUAUUAAUUUUAUCAUUUAAUACAUGUAUACAUAUUUCAAAUAUAUCUAUUACUAUUUUAUUUUUUUGUUGAAUAUUAAAUAACAGUAGAACAAUGGAUACCAAUAUAGAUAUACUCGAAAUCCAAUGAAUAAAGUAUGAAUAUAUGAAUUUUUUACUCGAUGAAUACUUGGCAGGGUAUAAAUAUAAAAAAUACUAUCCCGUAGAUAUCCAUUGUGAUCCCUAUACAUAAUUUCAAUAUAUAAAAUCAAUGCAUUAAUACAUUUAUUUUUCUUUUACAAUGAUAAAAUGAUGAUAAAUAUAGAAUAUUCAUAUGUUUUUAUUCCUUUUACAUUAUGCUUUUAAUGUGUUUUAAGCUUAUUUGAGCUCAUUGAAAGUAAUUUUAUGAGUUUAGCAUGCCUAAGAGACUUGGUGAAUUAAUUGCUAAAAGAUAAGAAAUUCUGCAUUUGAUGUUUUGAACCUUGGUUUUUCUGACAGGUUUUUCACCAAGUUGGAGUUAUAGAAUGGAAAGGUGGCUUAAUAAAGGUUAAACUGCACAUAUCCAGCUUUUUAAGAAGGUAUUAUGGAAAUAAAUCCGAUCUCAUUUGAAGCUCUAAUAAGACCUGCAAACCGGGAGGAAAGAAAACAAGGGUCCCCUCUGCUACUGCUGUUGGCUUGCAUUUUCUCCCGGUUGCUGGAGUUGUUGAUGACGUUGCUGCUAAUCUUGACUGCAACCAACGUUUGGGAUGGAGCUCAAAAUUGGAGGCAACGCUAUUGAUGGCUGAGGAUGGAGUCCUACUGUUGUCAACAUGAACUAGCUUGGCUGCCGUAUUUCUCAUAAAAGGGAGGCAACCAUGAGGGACAGGGAUGAUGCUGUUGUUGUGGCGUAGAGAAGAAGUUCGUGCUGGACUGGGGGGGAAGAGGAGACGAAGGCCUCUCCUGUAACACCGAACAAAAGCUUAUAUGGUGGCUUUUGGAGGUUGAAGGGGGUCCUUUAUUCUGCUAGGUCUGUGAGAUGAGGGAGAUGAAAGGUGGUCUUUUCUUUUUGUGUUCUGCUCAGUCUAGGUUACGGGGAUGAACUGAGGGGGAAAAGGGAUAAGUUGAGAGCCAUUUCUGGAGGCCGGGGAAGAAGAAAAGGAAAGGGCUGAGGGGGGGUAGUAUAGGGUUUGUCACCCCCUCUUCUCUUAUUUUUUUUAUGUUUCUCUCUUAUAGGGUUUCUGAUUAUGGCCUCCCUCUAGGGUUUCUAGUAAUUGUAUCCCCCUUUUUUGCAUGCACUAAGAUCUAUAUUUAUAGUG
RNAcentral lists this long non-coding RNA (15768 nucleotides) under Populus trichocarpa (black cottonwood). Its description in RNAcentral is "long non-coding RNA (PTRI_LNC000222)". The record is from RNAcentral. Lineage: Eukaryota; Viridiplantae; Streptophyta; Magnoliopsida; Malpighiales; Salicaceae.